Molecule: ribosomal RNA, 1307 nt
Filed under: uncultured Clostridiaceae bacterium
Lineage: Bacteria; Bacillati; Bacillota; Clostridia; Eubacteriales; Clostridiaceae
Description: bacterial SSU rRNA
Rfam family: Bacterial small subunit ribosomal RNA
Source: RNAcentral
GAGCGGGGACAGCAAGGGAGCUUGCUCCAAUGUUGUCCUAGCGGCGGACGGGUGAGUAACGCGUGGAUAACCUGCCUUCAGCUGGGGGAUAACGCUGGGAAACUAGCGCUAAUACCGCAUAACGCCUCGGGGCGGCAUCGUUCCGGGGCCAAAGGAGAAAUCCGGCAGAAGAUGGAUCCGCGUCCGAUUAGCUAGUUGGCGGUGCAACGGACCACCAAGGCGACGAUCGGUAGCCGGACUGAGAGGUCGAACGGCCACAUUGGGACUGAGACACGGCCCAGACUCCUACGGGAGGCAGCAGUGGGGAAUAUUGCGCAAUGGGGGAAACCCUGACGCAGCGACGCCGCGUGAAGGAUGAAGGUCCUCGGAUUGUAAACUUCUUUGAUUGGGGACGAAGAAAUGACGGUACCCAAAAAACAAGCCACGGCUAACUACGUGCCAGCAGCCGCGGUAAUACGUAGGUGGCGAGCGUUGUCCGGAAUUACUGGGUGUAAAGGGCGUGUAGGCGGGACUGUAAGUCAGAUGUGAAAUGCCGCGGCUCAACUGCGGAAUUGCAUCUGAAACUACGGUUCUUGAGUGCUGGAGAGGAAAGCGGAAUUCCUAGUGUAGCGGUGAAAUGCGUAGAUAUUAGGAGGAACACCAGUGGCGAAGGCGGCUUUCUGGACAGCAACUGACGCUGAGGCGCGAAAGCGUGGGGAGCAAACAGGAUUAGGUACCCUGGUAGUCCACGCUGUAAACGAUGGACACUAGGUGUGGGAGGUAUCGAUCCCUUCCGUGCCGGCGUUAACACAAUAAGUGUCCCACCUGGGGAGUACGGCCGCAAGGUUGAAACUCAAAGGAAUUGACGGGGGCCCGCACAAGCAGUGGAGUAUGUUGUUUAAUUCGACGCAACGCGAAGAACCUUACCAGGGCUUGACAUCCCGCGAAUAAUGCGGAAACGCAUGAAGCCUUUCGGGGCGCGGAGACAGGUGGUGCAUGGUUGUCGUCAGCUCGUGUCGUGAGAUGUUGGGUUAAGUCCCGCAACGAGCGCAACCCUUUUCGUCAGUUGCCAUCAUUAAGUUGGGCACUCUGGCGAUACUGCCGGUGACAAAUCGGAGGAAGGUGGGGAUGAGGUCAAAUCAUCAUGCCCCUUAUGUCCUGGGCUACAAACGUACUACAAUGGCUAUAACAACGGGAAGCAAUGGAGCAAUCCGGAGCCAAUCCCCAAAAAUAGCCUCAGUUCGGAUUGUGGGCUGAAACCCGCCCGCAUGAAGUCGGAAUUGCUAGUAAUGGCAGGUCAGCAUACUGCCGUGAAUACGUUCCCGGGC